ACGGCUAAUUACACUUGUUCUGCACAUGUGGAAAACAUUUAGCACUCCGUAUGAGUCGUAAUCACAAACAUUAUAUACAGAAUAAUAAAAGAUCAUUAAAAAGAAUUCAGUCAU
RNAcentral lists this microRNA precursor (114 nucleotides) under Oryza sativa Japonica Group (Japanese rice). RNAcentral's name for it is "osa-MIR413". The record is from RNAcentral. Lineage: Eukaryota; Viridiplantae; Streptophyta; Magnoliopsida; Poales; Poaceae.